AGAUCGGCGCAGAGAUGCGUUUCCCUUGUGGUUGGUGUACAGGUGGUGCAUGGUUGUCGUCAGCUCGUGUCGUGAGAUGUUGGGUUAAGUCCCGCAACGAGCGCAACCCUUGUCUUAUGUUGCCAGCACGUGAUGGUGGGGACUCAUGAGAGACUGCCGGGGUUAACUCGGAGGAAGGUGGGGAUGACGUCAAAUCAUCAUGCCCCUUAUGUCCAGGGCUUCACACAUGCUACAAUGGUCGGUACAACGCGUGUGCGACACUGUGAGGUGAAGCUAAUCGCUCUAAAGCCGGUCGUAGUUCGGAUUGGGGUCUGCAACUCGACCCCAUGAAGUCGGAGUCGCUAGUAAUCGCAGAUCAGCAACGCUGCGGUGAAUACGUUCCCGGGCCUU
Molecule: ribosomal RNA, 390 nt
Filed under: uncultured Corynebacterium sp.
Lineage: Bacteria; Bacillati; Actinomycetota; Actinomycetes; Mycobacteriales; Corynebacteriaceae
Description: bacterial SSU rRNA
Rfam family: Bacterial small subunit ribosomal RNA
Source: RNAcentral